GAAGCUUGCUUCUCUUGAGAGCGGCGGACGGGUGAGUAAUGCCUAGGAAUCUGCCUGGUAGUGGGGGAUAACGUCCGGAAACGGACGCUAAUACCGCAUACGUCCUACGGGAGAAAGCAGGGGACCUUCGGGCCUUGCGCUAUCAGAUGAGCCUAGGUCGGAUUAGCUAGUUGGUGGGGUAAUGGCUCACCAAGGCGACGAUCCGUAACUGGUCUGAGAGGAUGAUCAGUCACACUGGAACUGAGACACGGUCCAGACUCCUACGGGAGGCAGCAGUGGGGAAUAUUGGACAAUGGGCGAAAGCCUGAUCCAGCCAUGCCGCGUGUGUGAAGAAGGUCUUCGGAUUGUAAAGCACUUUAAGUUGGGAGGAAGGGCCAUUACCUAAUACGUGAUGGUUUUGACGUUACCGACAGAAUAAGCACCGGCUAACUCUGUGCCAGCAGCCGCGGUAAUACAGAGGGUGCAAGCGUUAAUCGGAAUUACUGGGCGUAAAGCGCGCGUAGGUGGUUUGUUAAGUUGGAUGUGAAAUCCCCGGGCUCAACCUGGGAACUGCAUUCAAAACUGACUGACUAGAGUAUGGUAGAGGGUGGUGGAAUUUCCUGUGUAGCGGUGAAAUGCGUAGAUAUAGGAAGGAACACCAGUGGCGAAGGCGACCACCUGGACUGAUACUGACACUGAGGUGCGAA
Molecule: ribosomal RNA, 686 nt
Filed under: uncultured bacterium
Lineage: Bacteria
Description: bacterial SSU rRNA
Rfam family: Bacterial small subunit ribosomal RNA
Source: RNAcentral